UGUGACGACCACUACAGCUGCUGUCCUCAUGACUAUCCUAUCUGCAACUUAAAUGAAGGCACCUGCUUGAUGGUAUGAUGAAAGGAUGAUUUUGCUGCAUUUUGUUGUUUGAAUAGCAUAUGAUCAUAUGUUUUUGGCCUAUAACUCAUUAAUGUUUUUGUUGCUUGCUUGAAUUCGUUUUGCAGAGCAAGGGUAACCCAAUGGCAGUGAAGGCACUGAGGCGCACUCCUGCUACGCCUUUCUGGGCCCAUGGAAGUGUUGGCGUAAAGAACAAUGCUUAAGGAGAAGCCUGGGAUUUUAUGCAGAAAAUGAUACUACAGGGAGAAGGGAACAGUGCUUGACCGAUCUCCUCUGUUUUGUCAGACU
RNAcentral lists this long non-coding RNA (366 nucleotides) under Gossypium raimondii (Peruvian cotton). RNAcentral describes it as "long non-coding RNA (GRAI_LNC007047)". Lineage: Eukaryota; Viridiplantae; Streptophyta; Magnoliopsida; Malvales; Malvaceae. The record is from RNAcentral.